GCACGUUGAGAGGAGCGCACGUUGAGAGGAGCGCACCGGAGAAAGAACACACGAGCUGCUGGACAGUGAGAGGAACACACUGGCAGAAGAGCACACAGGCAGCUGGAUGUCGAGAGGAGCGGAAGAGCACAGCGACAGGCACUGGUGUCGACCAGCGGAACGACGUGGAGUUUGGCCUGGGAGGUCAGAGAAGAAUUUGGCUGCUGGGCAGCCCCACUAUAGGGGAAAACCACCUUCCCACUCCAUUCCCCUUCUGAUCUCCCCAUCCACCUCGCUGAGAGCUACCACAACUCAAUAAAAAACCUAGCACUCGAUCUCCAAGCCCACAUGUGAUCCAAUUUUUCCCGUGCACUAAAGCAAGAACCUGGGAUACAGAAAGCCGUCUAUCCUUGUGAUAAGGCAGAGGGUCUAAUUGAGCUGAUUAACACAAGCCACCUGCGGACAGCUAAGCUGAAAUAGCAUCCUGUAACACACGCCCACUGGGGCCUCAGGAGGUGUAAACAUUCACCCCGAGAGGCUGCAUGGGUCCGCGCCCAUGGUCCCCAUGACUUGCCUGUUUGCCUGCUCUGGCUAAGGGUCUUGACCAGUGGGGCACUGAAGAAGCGAGCCACACCCUCAUCGUACGCCCUGCGAGGAGGGGUCUCACUCAGUGACCCAGGCUGAAUGCAGUGGAACAAUCAUGGCUUACUGUAGCCUUGACCUUGAGGGCUUAAGCAAUCCUGCCACCUCAGCCUGCCUAGUACUGGGACUACAGGUACGCGCCACCACGCCCAGAAAUUGCCACAGUCACCUCAACCUUCAGCAACCACCAACUUGAUCAAUCAGCAGCCAAUAACGUGAAGUCAUGACCACUCACCAGCAAAAAGUUUAUGAUUCACCAAAAUAUCAGAUGAUCAUUAACAUUUUUAGCAAUAAUGUAUUUGUCAUUAAGGUGUUAGUGCAUUGGAAAAUCAUUUAAAGAAUGUAUCAGCUAAUUGAAGGCUUAUGUGAUCAUUCAAAGAUAAGCUACCUGAUGAAAAAAUAAAGGUUAAUGAAAUUCAACAACAAAAUUAAUGCUGCAAACAUCUCUCUUCUAUUUUAGACAUUCUUCUAACUGCUGGAACUAAUAAGAUAUGAAUGAUGAAGCUUAUAUUCUUCUAGGAAUGAUAUAUACUUCACACAAAUAUAAAUAAAAAGCCUAGAUAAUUACAAAUAAGUUAUAUGAAUGAAGUUGACAGUAACUGAAAGAAGUCCGUUUAAAUAUGGUUGUCGGAAAGCCUCUACAGAAGGUGCCAUCUAAACCCAGAUCCAAGGGAUACCGGUAGACUAGCUGUACUAAGAACCAUGGAGAGAGCGUUCUAGAGUGUACAUGUUCAGAGGCCGAAUAGAAUGAAUGAGUUAGACACAUCUGGGAAACGAAAAGGAAGCCAAUGUGAUGGAAAACAAGAACCGUUACUGUAGGCCAUGAAAACAUUUUCUCUUUCUCUCCCUCUUUCUGUUUUUUGUUUGUUUGUUUGUUUGUUUUGGUUUGGUUUGGUUUGGUUUUUUUUUUUGAGACAGAGUCUCGCUGUGUUGCCCAGGCUGGAGUGCAGUGGCGCGAUCUGGGCUCACUGCAAGCUCCGCCUCCCGGGUUCACGCCAGUCUCCUGCCUCAGCCUCCCGAGUAGCUGGGACUACAGGCGCCGCCACCACGCCCGGAUAAUUUUUGUAUUUUUAGUAGAGACGGGGUUUCACCAUGUUGGCCAGGCUUGUGUGGAACCCUGACUUCAGGUGAUCCGUCCGCCUCGGCCUCCCAAAGUGCUGGGACUACAGGCGCCCGCCACCACGCCCGGCUAAUUUUUUUGUAUUUUUAGUAGAGACGGGGUUUCACCAUGUUAGCCAGGAUGGUCUCGAUCUCCUGACCUUGUGAUCCGCCCGUCUCGGCUUCCCAAAGUGCUGGGAUUACAGGCAUGAGCCAUCGUGCCAAGACUCUUUCUCUCUUUUUUUUCCCCUUUCUUCCCUAAGCACAGUGGUAGCCAUUAGAGCAUCUGAGAAGGGAUGUGGGCAAGCCUGGUUUUAAUUCUAAAGUUCCCUUCGGUUAAUUUGUGACAAACUAGAUUGUGAAUGUGUUUCCGUGUAUCGUGGGAAGGAGAAUAUAGAGGUGGGAGUGAAUAGCAAAAAUACACAUAAGAAGACUCUUGAUGAAGUUUUUUGGAUUAUCUGUAAAUAUACACUAUCACAACACUGAAAAUUUAUGCUGAAACUUUCAUUCCAAUCUAUUUUAUUUUUAUUUUUUUUUCUUUUUUUUUCCACUUCAAAUGAAUGAGCCUAUUGUGAAUUCUUUUGAAAGGCUUUGUAUUUUUGUCUCUGUGAUACUUCGUGGCUUCAUAUUUGUUUACUUUUACUAUUUGGUUGUUUAGUUAUAUGUAUUUUGUUCCACUAAAAUGUCCCAUUCCGAACAGGUAUGCCUUCUGAACAAUUAAUGCAGUGCACCUAAUGUACAUCAAUCAAAUUGCUAACCGAUGAUGUUUCUCAAGGGUAUUUGUUCCUUGGUAGUUGUCAGAAAUAUAAAUGGUAUAUUUCAGUAUAUAUCACAGUAUACAUUUUCUCAUGUAAUCCCCACAAUAACUCAGCAAAGUGUGGCUUAUUAUCACCUCAACAGAAGAGUCAGAAAGUUUAAGCUACUGCAUCUGGGUAACUAUGCAAAGCCGUAGAGAAGAGUGGAAAAGACACACAAUUCAGAUUUGAAAUAUUUUUUUUCAGUUCUUUGCUGUUCACUUUAUUACAUCAACAUACAAAUAAUAAUAUAUAAAUGGAUUUGUCUUACAAUUGUAUUUUCAGGUUAUAUAUUUAGAACCUGCUCAUUAAUGUUUGUAUUCAUGUGAAAUAAAUUUUGAAACCAUAG
Molecule: long non-coding RNA, 2862 nt
Organism: Pan troglodytes (chimpanzee)
Lineage: Eukaryota; Metazoa; Chordata; Mammalia; Primates; Hominidae
Exons: 5
Source: RefSeq, a predicted model, not a curated record